This is a non-coding RNA of Camellia sinensis, 574 nucleotides long. The record is from RefSeq and is a predicted model, not a curated record. NCBI's taxonomy places the organism in Eukaryota, Viridiplantae, Streptophyta, Magnoliopsida, Ericales, Theaceae.
CGGCUGGAAAGAAAAGAAUCCGAGCGAGAGAGAGAGAGAGAGAGAGAGAUAUGAAGCCUAUUCAAUGUUUUGGCCGGAAGGAAUUUGAUGGAAAGCUAGGGAUUAAAGAUAAAGAAAGAUCUUGAAGACUAAUACGUCACGCGCUAUUGUUCUCCUGAUCUAUCUGAAUUGUCUGCAUUAUCUGAUCUGCUAGUGGAGCCAUCUGUGGUCAGGCGCCGGAGCAAAGUUAGCUGCGUCAGUCUAAAUUCGUUUUGUCAAGCCAACCUACUGUGCCUCACCACGAGAUUCCAAACCGUUAUUGUCAAGGCUUUGUUUGGGGUGGUCUAAAUCCACUUCAAGUGAAUGUUUCCUAAGUUGUUUUGGCUUUGGGAUUUAAUUUCCCAACAUGUCUUUUAUUUUGUACUUAGACGUGUUUUGGACUUCAGUUUUUACAUAUAUACUGAAUAUAGACUGGGACUUAUGUCUGUAUUGGUAUAUGUAUAUAUAAGUUGUUUGUGCAUUUAAGUCCUCACAGCUCUUUGGACAUCAUAUUUUAAUAUUUACAAGCUUCCGCCGGCCCCUCCUAUUGUAUAAU